AUCAAAUUCGGAUCGCCCAUAAAAGUAUAGUUGCAAAGCAAAGAAGAAAAGCAUACUGCAUACUCUCUCCCUGUGUGACCAUGCGAGGGCAACAUGGUUUAGAAGCUCCCUGAAUGUUGUUUGUUCAAAUUUCGAGUCUUUUGGUUCUUUUGCAGAAUGGUGGUCUUGGUGGUUGAGUCAGAAGGGUGAAUAGGACAAUGAGGGAAGUGUGGAAAGCUUUUCAUCAAGAAUCAAUCGAUUCUUUCUCCGGUGAUGCCCCAGCUGUAAAAACUUUUUGGUUUCUAGUUUAAACCCACUGUGUUGUAAAGCUAGAACAGAUGGGAGUUUUUGUUCCGCUGAAUCCAGUGGAUUAGGAUUUUGGAUUGUUGAUGUGUCUGAGUCUUUUUUGGCUGCUAAAUGUGAAGGUUGUAGAGGUGUUUCUGCUGAAUAUGCUGAAUUAGUAGCUAUUUUGGAAUGUUGCUCUACUGCUAAAGAUCUGGGUUUAGUAUAGAGAGUGAUUGUUAGGAUUGAAUUAGGAGUCUCCGGGGUUAGAGACUCCGCUGAGUUUGAGUUUGAUUUCGUUUUGAGUUUGAGUUCUUGUAAAUUUAGGAUUCGAUGUUCGAUGGUUGUGUAUAUAUAUCUAAAUCUCCAAUGAAUAAAGAUAAGAAGAGAGUAAAUGGUAUCAGAGCCACGAAACAGGAGCGAGAGGUCUGGCACGCUUGCGGGCUUCUUCUAGUUCUUCCUUGUCUUCGACCUUGACUUCUAUCGUGCUCGGUUUUCUUCUCGUCUUUCACUCAAAACUCGCCGAAACCAUUCGGUAAACUCGAUUCGUACUGAACUUCUUUUGCCGGUUGUUACGGAACUGUUUGAUGAAACGAGUUUCGUGGAUAGUUUCUUCAGGGAUGAUUUCGGUGAUAUCUUCCUAGGUUCUUGUGGUGAUUUCGGGUCGUCGUCGACUACGUGGCAAGAGGACGAUUAUUUUCAGGAAAUCGGUGAUUUGUUUGCUUCUGACCCCCUGCCGCUCCAAAAUUGACCGACGAAUCGACAAUACAACGGCGGAAGUCGUUUUUCUACUUUCAACGUCUCCUCUCAUAGAACAGUGAGGGGUCAAUCUCUUCUUGGAGGAGGGGCUUCAUUAUUUUAUCGACUGUUACAGUUACUGUUGCGGGGCGCUCAUCCCCCUUUUUUCUCUUCUUCAUCCUCUUCGACGCGGCUGAUGCCGUCGACAAUAACGGCUUUAGCUUUAAGAGAAAUGACGCAAUGGCUGUCGCUGUUGUAGAAGCGGAGGCGGAGGACAGCACGCUUGGACGAGAGUUCGGCAGCAGCGCCGUCGAAAAAAACGUUUUCUUGGAAGUGGGUUUGGAGGUGGAACGGAGAUAAGACGUUCCACGACCUCUGGAGAUCGGUGGCGGCGAUCUCUUACCAGCGGCAGCGGCGAUCUCUUAGAAACGCUGUGGCAGCGGCGAUCGUGUUGCGUUCUGGUGGCGGUACCAGAUCUCUUAGAAACGCUGUGGCAGCGGCGAUCGUGUUGCGUUCCGGUGGCGGCGAUCUCUUAUUCGUGAAUAGAAGCAUCACCGAUCGUGAAUAGAAGAUCGGUCUCAGAUUCCACGGCUUCGAAAUCGGUGCCUUCAGAGAGUUCCGAAUAAGACUCACAAACGUCCGAUCUUUAACGGGUUUCUGGCGAGUCGAAGUUCUGCGACAGGUUUUAGGGAGAUCCGGUUUUCUGUGAUGAUUCUGCCGCCGAUUGAGGGUUUUUAGACACAGCGGUCGAUAUGGCUGAAAACAAAGAAAAAGAACAUGGUGGGCGUGGUGGACGGAAACAAGGAACAGGGGCAGGAGGAAAAGGUCGUGGCGACCAAGUCAAGGCCCAUACAGCCAAAGUCUCUGCACAAGGCAAUGCGUCUCAAGGAAAAUAAAUCGAUGCAGUCAAGACUGGGUUAAAUGGACUAAGUAGUGAGCAGUGGAACAUGCUACUCAACCUUUUGAAUACACAAAAAGAGGGGAGUCAAUAAAGUGGUAAGCGAAAACUAUCAGAGUGGAUAAUAGACACAGGGGCUUCUCAUCAUAUGACAGGAAGUCUCGAGUUGAUGAGAGACAUAAAGAACAUCAUUCCAUGCUCAGUCGGGCUGUCAGAUGAGAAAGCGACAAUAGCAGAGAAAGAAUGUACAGUUGCGCUGGACGAUCAUCUAAAACUGACUAAUGUUUUAUAUGUGCCUAGUUUGAACUGCAAUCUAAUUUCUAUGUCGCAAUUGAUUGAGGAGUCGAAUUGUGUUGUUCAGUUCACUAAUAAAUUCUGUGUGAUACAGGACCGAACUACGAGGAAGCUAAUUGGAGCGGGUGAGUAGCGAGAGGGACUCUAUUAUUUCUGGAGCAUUGCAUCAGCGAGAGCAAUGAAGACUAUAGAGAGUAAGACGUGUGAUAUUUGACAUCAAAGGUUAGGGCAUCAUUCUCAUAAAAUUGUUAAGUUGCUGCCUUUUGUUAGUACUAAAAAUAAUAAGGAUGACAGUAUUAAGGGUUGUGAUGUAUGCUUCCGAGCUAAACAGUGUCGAGAAGAGUUUGUUUCUAGUAAUAACAAAGCAUCCGAUAUUUUUGAGUUAA
Molecule: non-coding RNA, 2577 nt
Organism: Nelumbo nucifera (sacred lotus)
Lineage: Eukaryota; Viridiplantae; Streptophyta; Magnoliopsida; Proteales; Nelumbonaceae
Source: RefSeq, a predicted model, not a curated record